CCUACGGGAGGCAGCAGUGAGGAAUAUUGGUCAAUGGGCGGAAGCCUGAACCAGCCAAGUCGCGUGAGGGAAUAAGGCCCUACGGGUCGUAAACCUCUUUUGCCGGGGAGCAAGGGCGGGGACGUGUCCCGGCCCGGAGCGUACCCGGAGAAAAAGCAUCGGCUAACUCGGUGCCAGGAGGCGCGGUAAUACGGAGGAUGCGGGCGUUAUCCGGAUUGAUUGGGUUUAAGGGGUGCGUAGGCGGGCUUUUAAGUCAGCGGGAAAAAGUCGGGGCUCAACCCCGUCCGGCCGUUGAAACUGGCGGCCUAGAGUGGGCGAGAAGAAGGCGGAAUGCGUGGUGUAGCGGUGAAAUGCAUAGAUAUCACGCAGAACCCCGAUUGCGAAGGCAGCCUUCCGGCGCCCUACUGACGCUGAGGCACGAAAGUGCGGGGAUCGAACAGGAUUAGAUACCCCUGUAGUC
Molecule: ribosomal RNA, 460 nt
Filed under: uncultured bacterium
Lineage: Bacteria
Description: partial 16S ribosomal RNA
Rfam family: Bacterial small subunit ribosomal RNA
Source: RNAcentral